UUUCGCUGGCAUUCUUCCUAUCGCAAUAAUAUCAAAAAUGUAAAUGUUCUUGAAUAGACACACUAGAGUGCCAAGUGAUUGUGGCCCCAAAAAUCAAUUGCAAAUAAAAAUGGAAUUAAAAUCGCCUCGACUGACAAGUUUCUUAGGUAUUACGAACUCAAUAUAUAAGUAAGCUGGAUAUAAUUUGGAUUUGGGAAAAAGAAGAAGAGGAAGGCACCACAACAGGGCAUUGCCAACUGUCCUAUUUGCAUUCAGAAAGGGAUGGCUAUGAAUCACUCGAAUUUUGCGAUGCCCACGUACGAGGAAAAUGAGAGAAUGGCACGGGAAGCAGCUCAUCGUAGCAUGCCAACCCACGAGGGAAACGAGAGAUCGGCGCGGGAAGCAACUCUUCGUAGCAUUCAAGAAGAAUCCACCCUCGCUAUUCCUGACGUACACCCAGCAGAGAUGCUAUCCACCUCCGCCAGUUGCUCAUGGACAAGAUCCCAUCUUCUGCGGGUGCAACCGAUGUCGCAGGGAACGAGGAGAAAUAGAUCCGCUUACUGUGGAACUUCUGCCCAUGGAUGCUCAAGUUACUCUGCAGAAUUCUAUUCUGCAGAGCUCCUUGCAGGAUGCUGGGUUUAUGUGCUCCAUUUUGUAAGAUUAUUGCGAAAUCUGAAGCAUUUAAUGGUGCAUCAAAAUUAGAUAUUUUAAGUACAUUGGCUUCUUUUUUACUUAAGUUCUAAAUCUUUAUACUUUAUGAGUAGCUGUAAUUUUAACAACAGAAAUUAUCAUGUUCUUCAAAUUAGAAUGAUUAAUGUGGUAAUACAGAAAACCUUUGUAUAUGAGUAAUGAACAAAAAUACUUAUAAUUGCUCAAAAUGUAGUGAUGCAUUAAAUAAACUGAGCCAAACCUCACAAAUUUAUCAGCUUAGUUUUUAAUCUAUUCUAUUUGUAACAGUGGUUCUCAAACUUUAUUUCUAUACUCCUUGCUUCCUUCUCAGCACGUGUCAGUAUGCCAAUCCUCCCUCUCUACAAAUUUGUUUUACUCCAAAUAAUAAGCAAAAUAAAAGUAUAGUAUGCUGUAAAGAUAUCCUGCCAGGUUAUUACAGGAGGUGCUUAAAAUGUCCUUCUUGGAUUUCUAGACCUUUUUUUGUACGUGUCUUCUGUGGUGGCCUUGAUUAGAAAAAACGGCAUUGGUGCAAUUCGGGCUUAAGAAAAUGCGAUUAGUUGAAAAAGAAAAUGAUGAAUCUGAAUAUCAUUCAAUAUCUAUUACAACGCAAAUUAUUUAAUAUAUACGUGCAGAACGAUUUUAAUAUAAAUUUGUGUUUACGAUACUAUAAAUACAAUAUUAUCAGCAAUUUAUUUAAAAUUACAAUAUAGUUCCUCAAAACUUAUUAAACGUGUUUAAUUACAGUAUUUAAAAAUAAUUAUGUAAACAAUUUAUUUAAAAUAACAACGUACAUAAGCAUUCCAGAAAAUUUUAUUUUUUACUAAAUACAUGGGGAAAAUCUACUUACUGUUAUAUUCAGAACAAUCCCAUUAGCAAUGUACUAUAUAUAUAUAAACAUACAGGAAAAUUCACUUUUUAUGGACUCUUUCAAGUGGGUAUAGUUUCAGCAAUUGUUGCUAAAUAAAAAAACCAACUAUACUGAUAGAAUGUAAUUGCGAAAAACCUGUCAAACUGUUAACCAUUUGUUUCUCACACAUACGCAGAUCGGCAACGGUUUGUCUCCCUUGAUUCUCGCCAAUGCUGAAAUGCGCCAAAUCUCUCCAAGGUGUCUGCAGAAGACAAGUACCCAUUUUUUCGCACGUGAAAUCACAUUGUAUCUAACCUUACUUAAAACAUAAAUGUCAAAUGAGCAAUACUUUCAUGAAUGCUCUUUUUAAGUUAAUCAAUCGUUUAGAGGUUCUUUCCGUGAAUAUAUUUACAGAUUUAAGGCUUAUUACAUUUAAUAAAUAUAAGGAAGCUUUUCAUUGAUUUCACUGCAUUUGCAUGCUAACUGAAUACAACUUUUUGGCCUCCAUUUUUUGUCACGUGAUUUCACUCCGUCUUUGACUUUUCUUUGCUGUGAACCUUUUGUUACGCUUUUCAUCUAUCAGUAUUAAAUCGAAAAAUCUCACCCUUCCAAUAAGACGCAUAAUAUCCCCUUUGGGGGAGAUUUCCCCCCCCCCGGUUGAGAAUCCCUGUUCUGUAAUAAGUAUUUUAAUAACAUUCUUUAUAAACAUUCUUUAGAGAACCAAAUAGCUUACGACACGAUUUCUACUAUGGCAAAAAGCAUGAAUUGCAUUGGAGCACUGAAAAAAUUUGUUCAUUUUAUGAGAUUUUAUACUAAAUUUCUACGUCAAUAAUUUUUAGUUGUUUUUAAAAUUUGCCUUUUCGAAAGGUAUUCGAUUUUAGAAAUCUUAAAAUUUUUAUGGUAUGCAAAUAAUUGAAAAAUCUCCAAACUAUAUUGUGUAUUUUUCCAAUGAUAUUGUCAUUAGCGCUGAGAUUAAUCGCUCAAUAUUCUGAACAUUUGCAGCAUUUUUAAAGCAGCUGCGUAAUAUUAGAUAUAUUUCUAUUAAAUGAAAUUUUAUAAUGACUUUAAGAACUAUCAUAAAUAGCAGUAUUCAUACGCUUUGUACGGCACAUGCCAAAUUCUGCAUCUCAAAUAGUAAUGAUGCUGACAGAAAUGUGAUCUCAUAACUGUUUCUUGUUGGAUUACAGUUUUUAUUGCAUAUUAAUUUAGAAAGACUUCAUCAAAUAUGGUCAAUGAUUCGUGCUGCAAAGUUUACGAAUUAGGUUUUAGGACUGUUUUCAUCCAAAAAAAAAAAAAAAAAAACACGUACUGAAACUAAAACGUAUAUUCAAAAAAAAAAAAAGAUUUUUUUAUUUAAAAUAAAAUUAGUAAUUCACGUUAUAUUUUAAAAUAAAGCCGCCAGUAGAAUACAUUGUAAAAGUUACAACAAUGCACUUAGUCCAAAUGAUCACACACUUGGAUAUUUCUUCACAUUUCUGUGGAAAAUUUUUUUAUCCUUACUGAAGACAAAGAAUUUAAUUCCUACGUAUUUGUAAUGAAUUAAUAAUUUAGUACUUUGAAUAUCCCAUCAGCCAUAUACACGGUGCUUUAAAGAGACUAGAUUAUUAAACUGCCGUUGGACGAAAGGUCAUAAACCCAUGGUUCGAGCUUCAGAAAUGAAUCAAAUAAGAUUACAACAGUUUUAAUCACAUAAUUCUAGCAAGCCUGUUAUUUUUUCGAGCCCUGUACAGAGGAAGUUCUAACUAAUAAGCUCUUCUUUGCAAUAUCAAGUCUUUUUAAUAAAAUCUGUCUCUGCAAAAUGAAAAAUUGACAAAUAGCCUUGAAAUAAAAUGCAAAAAUUAUAUCACUGUCACCCGAUGAAAAGAAAGUGCGAAAACAUCAAUUUUAGUGGUCAAAUCUGGUUAAAGAAAAAAUCUGAAAAUGAACAUUUCUAAAAUUUUAAAUCUAAACCCAUGCUUAUCUUCCUGUUUCUGUGACAUAAAUGGUGUUUAAUGGAAAACCGCACUUGAAAAUUUAUUAUUUAAUUUAGCCGGAUUUGUGCACAGUUCCCAGCUCCCCUUAGUUGACAUCGUCUCAAAUAAUUUUUAUUGUAUCAUUAUGAUAUUUUUUUUUUUUUUGCAUUAGUUGGAUCUUGUUGCUAGAUAAAAACACUACAUUUUUCUUUGUUCUAUUUAAAAACAAAUCUUAUGUAAUUUUGUUAAAAGAUAUCACGAGAUCAAAAAUGUUAUUUUCUGAAAGUCUAUGUUAUUUUUUUCAUUUCUUAAUCUGUAACCAUGAAUCUAUGACCAAUUUUUUAAGAAAUAUUCUGCCGCGCAAUUUAUAAUAAGCAACCUGUAUAGGUGAUGCAUAUCUUGCUACAGAAGCCCUGUCAUUUAUUUACGGCUGGCGACUUCAUUUACUCGAGCAGAAACAGAUUUAUUAAGUAUUUGUGAAUACAUUUAAUCAACACAAUGAAAAAAAUCUGAUUUUUGUUAGUGAGUAUACAUUUGUAACAAAAUUAUCAAAAUCUGCGUUCAUUCUGAAUAAUUUCUAAAAAACAAAUGCGUAUGGUUAUUGUUUCGUUUGGCAUAUACUAUGAUUUUUUUACAUAUUUUCUUGGCUAUAACCGAUUCAAACAGAUAUAUAUUUCUUACAGCAAGAACUGUUAUACAUCUAGGUUUUCCCCUCAUGCUUAUUUUUUAAAAAUAUUAUGCGCUUUACUUCAUCAGGUGGAAGAUAUAUUCAAUGGUAGCUGGAAUUAGCCCACUAGCAAACUAUUCAGCAAGCGAUGCUUUGGGAGUAUUUCAUUUUGUUUCAUUUUAUCUUUAUAAAACCUCAGCUUAAUGACUGCGAUGACUUUGUCGACUUUUAAGCUCCACAGGAAUUGAUUUCUAAAUGCGCUUGGCUCUCAGUCUGUUAAGAGCGAGUUAAAAAUCCUGCCUUCAUAAUUUCUGAAGGCGAUAAACCGACCAAGCAUUUAACAAAUAAAUGGCAAAGAAAAGAGAAGGCAUGUUUUAAGCUGCAGUGCAUUUUUCGUGAGAAAAAAUGCUAUGCGAGAAGGGAAGUUAAAUUAUUCAGGUGUUCAAUUACCUCUCGCUCUCACAACGUUCUUUAAACUAACAAAUGAUUUGGAUUGCUAAUAAAAUAAUAAGUCCCAACGUUUUACAAUCGGUGAAACUCAAUAUACUGUUCAAAAUUUGAGCUAAUUCAAAAUUUUAAACUAUUUAAUCUCCUCAGCGGGAGCUUCUUGAAUGAAUCCUUAAGUUCUCUCAACUAAAUCAUAAAAAAAUUUUAGAAGCGUUGUAUGCAAUCAAUAAUGCAUUUAUAACGUCAGUCUCUCUAGGUUUGUUGGUAAUGUUACUGUUUUUAAACUUUUCUAAUAAAUUUGUUUUUAAAUUUUACCUAAUAUAAGUUAUCUAAUUUUCAGUGAAACUGUUAUUAAUUUGGUUCAUUUUAUGUAAGCUAAAUUGUGUCCAUUUCAAAUACAGGAAUCUUCAUUCGUAAUUAUUGUCUUCUUUGCUUUAAUCUUUUCCUACUUUUGCAUUUUAUUCCACGGAGAUAUUAUAUGUCGCUGCAUGGAGAGACUUAAUAAUAUUUUAAUAUCUGUGCUAUCUAUUUGAAAGACUUUGAAAAAAUGAUAAUUAUAAAAAUGUGCAGCAGUUUAUGAAAAGAUCUUUCUAUAUAAUCAUGCCACUCGUUAAUUGAUAAUUAAAUAUCUAUAUAUGAAUUAAUUAUUGAAUCUUAUAUUAUAUGAAAUUAUGUAGUUUAUUUAAGGCAAUAUAUGUUGCUGCAUGAGGAGACGUAAUAAGUUUUUUAUAGCCAUGGUUAUUUUUAUAAACUGUCUUAAUAACCUUGUUCAGAAAUGUUACUAAUGUUGUUUAAAUUUCAUUUCAUAGUAUUAAUUUAUAAACUUAUUUUCAGAAAACUUAUUAAUUAGGUUCAUUUUUUGUAAGCUGUUUCAAAUACAGGAACUAUAAUUUUAGAAAAUGUUUCCUUCUUUUUGUUGGUAUUUCAUUCUUUUCUUAUAUUAUUAGAUAAUUAUUCAGGCUACCCAAUAUACGUAAGAUGUCUUCAUGGAGAAACUUAAUAAAAUUAUAGUAUCUGGGUUGUCUCUUUAAACGACUGGGAGAAAAUAAUUAAUGUUUUAAUACAAUAUUGUAAAAGAAACAUGAAAGUCCAUAAAAAGACAUUUGAAUGUGCUCAUCCCAAGCUUAUAUUGAUAACGUUAAAACUGUUAAAUAUAUAUAUGAAUAAAUUAAGAUGUUAUAUGCUUCUUCAUGUAGAGAGGUAAUAAAUUUUUAAUAUUAUCUGUGUUAUCUAUUAGGUCAACUGUUAAAAGAAAUAUAUUUUAGUCCAAUAUUGAAGAAAAAUGCAGAGCACUGUCGAAAGAUUUUUAUAUGUGGUUAUGAAACUCGUGAAAUGAAGACGAUAAAAUUUUUUAAAAUAUUGUAUGUAGAUAAAUUACAGAACUCGGUGUUUGUUUUUAAAAACUUCUAAUUUUGAACUACAGUACUUAAUUUUUUAUUUUUUAUUGUAUUACAUGAUGCUAGAAAUGUUAAAUUGCGUGCAUUUCAGAAAACUUGAUACUGUGUGCCUGUUCUGAAACUCAUGAGAACACAUCAAUUUAUAAAUUGUAUAAAUUUAUUGCUUGUUUAAAAGGGUUCAGUUUUCAAAAAAUUAUAACUAAAUUCAUUUCUCAAAAAUUAGACGCAUUUUGCUAAUUAUAGUAGCAUAAAAUUAUUCUAACAUUUGAGCAUUCAAAAGAAUUCUGCACUGUGGAAUAUUUUAAUAUCGUUUUGAAAUAGAAUAGUUAAUUUAUUCAUUUAUCUACUGAUAUUUUUUAGACUGCAGACAUACGUUAGAAAUUUUAAUUUUACGUUGUGUUUCACAGCGAUCGCACGGCUAAAAAUCUCGUGAACGAUUGAUCACAGACCUAUGAUUCACUUUUAAGAAAUGAAUUAAAUAAAGUUAUGACAGCUUUUAGGCUUUAAAUUCUGUGCCACUGUAUUCAGACAAGGCUUUGGUUACGUGACACCUUUUAGUAAAAAUAAACGAAAUUUUAGCUUUUAUAGGGGCCUCAGACGAAAAUAAUGUCGGUGAGAUAAAUGUUCUUUAUGGAUGCAGAAAUACUUUUUUUUUUUUUUCAUUUUCUACUGAUUAAAAAAAAUACAGAUACUCUUAACUAAAAUUUAGAAAACCAUGUAUGGAUUCUUUUAAAGACAGUUAGUUAUGCAUGCUAAGUUCUCGAAUCAGAUUUCUGAGAGACUUAUUUCAUCAAACAAAAGUUAUACAUAAGCAUGGGUUUGAGUCAAGAAGUGCUAAGACUCGAAAUUUUCUAUACCUCAAACUUAAAUUUAAUCAGCUCCAAAAACUAAAAUCGAUAUUCGCACAUCAGGUGAAAGUGGUUUAAGUCAUAUAAAUUACAAACUCGGCAACUCUCUUCAAGACUAAUGUUAUGUAUUAAGAACCAGUUUUUAUUCUCUUCUAAAAGAUAUUUAAUAGGCUAGGGAACAGCUUAGAAAUCGGAACUUCCUCCGUAGGGAGCCUACAUAAAAAAAAAAUGCUAUAUUUUUACUAAAAGCUAUAACCUGAUCCGAAAUUAAAACAACCUGAAAGCAUAUCCUUUUUUUAUUCAUUUCUUAAACUGAAACCAUAAGACUGUGGUCAAUCGUAUCUAGUCGUGAAAAGUAUCAUGUGUAUAUAUUUCUAUAUAUAGACACAUACAAAUAUAACCUCCAGUUCUGAAGAAACAAGUUCGUUGUUAAAACGGGUGAAAAUCAGAAAAAACGUGCGGAAAACACCACUGAUCCACGGGUCCGGUCCAUCAUCAAGAACCGGACUUAAAUUUUUCUGCUCUCGUGAUUGUUAAAUGCAGAUAUAUUGCAUUAGUGAGCAGAAUAUGUCUCAUUUCUCCUCAAAUUUUACUUGUAUUCGUAAUUCAGUGCAUUGCUUUGCUUGCUUUACAUAUUUUUUGUCCCCAUGUGAGUCCCUUAUGUGAGUUUCUGAGCGUUUCCCAUGUGAGUUUUUGUAAGCGAAUGCUUUUCACGAUUCAUUCAGGAAAGCCUGUCAUUUUUUUCCCAACUGUGUAAAAGCUAAUAGUCCCCCACUGUUUCCCUUCCCAUCAGUAUGUCUUUCCCUCCUCCCUAUCAGUAUCAUUUCGUAUUUCUUACACGUCAUUUAAUUUAAAGUGGUGUUAUUGUUUUAAUCAAUCUAUUUAUUAUUAAUACGUGUUGCGCUAUCGUAUGUGCUAAGAAUUUGUUGUAAUGUACUUGCACUGAGUAAACGUCUGUUAUGAGUGUUUUAGAGUUGUGACUAAAUAAAAGUUGCUGUUGUUAAGAAAAUCUUUUCCGGCAGAGUGUGAUGAAGAAAGCACCUUAUUCAUCGCAUUUUCUAUUCGAUGUAUUUUUCUCAUUUUCUUGUGCUAAAUUCACUAUGAGUGAACUUAUUGUUGUGUUUGUUAGUUAGUGUGAGCUUAGUGAUUCUUCUUAAGCAUUGCAUAUUAAAAUACUGCACACCCAUUAUAUAUAUAUAUAUAUAUAAUGUUGUAUUCAUGUAGUCACAAAAUGCGGUAAAAAUGUCUUUCCAAAGUUUGCACUUGAAAUAGGUUGUUUACUUAUAAGCAACAACUUGCAUUUGAAAUGCUGUUGGAAAAAAAAAUGCCAAGACAGUUAAAAAAAAAAAAAAAAAAAAAAAAAAAAUCUCUUUUUGGAAACAUUAAUCGAAAUCGCAAAAAUUAAUUUCAUAAGAACAAUGUGCCAAUGCUUAAUUUCUUAAUUUCAUAGGAUACAGAAGUAUAUAAUUUAAUACUCUGAUGCCAGAUAUUUAAUUCUCUGUACUUCGCUUAGUACUUUUCGCAGAGAUAGCCUGUGCUUCAAAGGACGAUUGCUCAGUAUCCUACUAUUCCAAACUUAAUAUUCAAAGACUUUUACGCUGCAAAUUUUUAAGGUUUAAAAGGCUUUUUUACCCGCAUUCAUUCAAAAUUUUUAACUGUUGGAAAGAUAAUAGUAAACUGUUUUCUAUGUAAGCUAUUUCUAGUAAAAAUAUGAAAGUAGGUAUUAGAGAAAUCGCUCUGCGUAUUGUGAAUGUGGUAAAUAUUUUGAAGCUAUGCAUAUAUAUAUGUGAACUUCUUAUAGCUAUUUGUAUAUUCAAAUAAUAAAACAUGAAUGUACUGACGCUACAGCGUAUCUGAAAGUAAAUAGGGUGUUUAAUGGUGUAUGAAUGUUGUAUUUGCAUUUACAGAUAUUUUGCUUGUGCUGCAUAAUUCGGGAUAAUAAGUAAAUUACUCUGGGUUUUACAUUUCUUAAUUCAUUGUUGUUCCGUGCUUGUUCUGUACUUGUUCAAACAAACAUAUACGUGGAAAACUGUUGCAAUAUUUAAAGUAUUCUUUGAAGGCAGUGAUAAAAGCAGCUAAAAAACAGUUAAUAAGUUGAAAAGUGAAAUUUAGCAUCAAUUAAAAGAAACUUCGGAAAACAAUUAUAUUAUACAAAGUCUUCGAAGAAGAUGGACCUGAUUUUAGAUCACAAUAUUGUGCUUUAUGGUAACAACAACUAAUUGUAGUUGUCCUGAGCAGCAUAAUUAAAGGCACUGGAUAAAGGGCGCUUGUAGUCAUCCCGUUCAUUGUAAACUUGCUUUGACCUUAAGGGCCUUUACUAAUUACACUACGCUGACAAACUACAGACAAUGUGUGCUAUAAAAACAAAAUCAAGUAUUUUCAUUACUUAAAGAUGUAGAGAGCCCUUGAUAUAAGAAUCUUCAAUUUUGUUCAUGAUGAAAGACGUGGAAGAUAAAACAUUGGAUCUGUCAUUUUGGACAUCGGUAAAUGAUAAUCCGCAAUAAUAUGACUAAUGGCUGACUUCAUUGAUGUGUGAGAUUUUGCAUUUUUCCUGUAUGCAUCCCCGGGUAUCCUUGUAUGUUCUCUGAUCCAGCUGAUAUGAAGCGACUUUAUUGUCUGGAACUUUUGGACAUGCUUUGGCUAUCUCGAAAAAUUCUCGAUUGGAUCUUUUAAAGCUCUGACGUUGUCUAGCCAAAAAGUGAAUUUCCUUAAUGCAGAUGAUUCCGCUUAGGAAAUAGUAGCAGUAUCAUUUAAUGUACAUUUUUCUGUAUGUAUUGUGGAGCCAUUGAUAUGAACUCCCAAUGCUGAGCUAACCUCAUCAUUUUAUUUGGAGCCGUCACUAAAAAUCUCGGAUCUUUAUGCAUUUGGAAAGAGCUUAUGCCAUUUAAUUUCAAAAAUAUAAAGGAGAAUAAUAAAAUUUUGUGGGAGUAGGCUGUAAGUUCAUGAUGUGAAUAAUAACAUCUUCUGGAAUUAUGGGCUCUUUAUAAUGAUCCAAUUAGUAAAAUUUUGAUUCAAAAUCGGCUUUUAAAUCUGAAGGCAAUCAGCGAAAAUCAUGCUGAAACUUACCAAUUAAUAUAUGGUAAAAUAAUUGAAUUUCCUCGAACUUUCCUUUUUAUGUCAAAAUAAUUGCAAUAAAAAUUUUCAUGCUGUCUCAAAUACUUUUUUCUAAUAUAAUUGUUUUAAACCAGGUCCAUUUUUUACGAUUAUUGUUAUAUUUAUAGAAAUAGGUGCGAUAAUUAAUAAUGAUACAAACAAACGAUGAAACUUUAAAUGUAACAUUUAUGCUUUCGAAUACAGAAGUUACUUAAGUGGCAGCUCAAUUAUUUCAGCCAGAUUUAUCACUUCCUUCAAAUGUUUUCCUUUAAAUUAAGUGGCACACCAACGGCCGAGCGAUAAAGUCGCUAAACACUGGCAGUUCGACCGGGGAUCGAAUCCCGGCGAACAGGCUGGCUACAUGGUUGGUUUUUGUGGUUUCCCCAUGUGUAACGUGAAUACGAGCCAGUUUCCUUUAAAGAGUCCUCCCACGAAGGCAUCCCUCCCCACAAGCAGAUAACCCUCGAGGUGCUCUAUCUUAAUCAAGUAACCUUACCUAAUCUAAACUUUAAAUAAAAAAGAUAUGAAAUGCAAUAGUAAAAAUGUUUUGUUUCGUCUGCAGAAAACGUUUUUAGUUUUGAUAACAUUAACAGCAAAAUAUCUGUUUCAAAAAAUUAUAUUAAUUUGUGUAUAUAUAUCUUUACUUGUUCUUUGGAGAUUAAAAUAUAUUUUUGUGAAUGAUAUUGGUUUAUAUUCUUGAGAAAUUGUAUGUUAUACUAGUUUCUUUUUAAAAUUCUUCUAUUUAUUCCUGUUAACUAAAGCUAAAUUGAAUAACACUCAUUGAUGUAUAAUUUAUGUUUCCUUUAUGUGUUAAGCAAAUCUUUAAAAUUAAAAGUUAUCUUACAGUUUUACAGAAUACAAUCAGCUUUUCAUGAAUUUAAUUGCUAUAAAUACGUUAAUUAAAUAGGCACUUAUGUCAUUAAUUGGUAAGUUAUCGAUUUAAUCAAUCUAUUCGGAGAUGUUACACUACUGAAGAGCACUUUUAUAUUAUGAAGAUUUAUGAUAAAUUUUAGUGUUAUAUAAAAUUCUCUUCUUUCAUAUUAUGUAUGGCAACUAUUGUGUGCUAUUGAUAAUUGCAAUGCUUGUGUAAAAUUUUCUUGAAUGAUGUGGUAAUAAAAAGUUUCGUGAAACGCU
Stegodyphus dumicola is the source of this 11033-nucleotide long non-coding RNA. The record is from RefSeq and is a predicted model, not a curated record. Lineage: Eukaryota; Metazoa; Arthropoda; Arachnida; Araneae; Eresidae.